GACGAACGCUGGCGGCGUGCUUAACACAUGCAAGUCGAACGAAGUGGCGAACGGGUGAGUAACGCGUAAUCAACCUGCCCUUCCGAGGGGGAUAACAGUUGGAAACGACUGCUAAUACCGCAUACUGAAGGAGGGGAUUGCGUCUGAUUCGCUAGUUGGAGGGGUAACGUCCCACCACGGCGAUGAUCAGUAGCCUGUAUGAGAGGAUGAACGGCCAAAUGGGGACUGGGGCAAGGCCCAGACGCCUACGGGAGGCAGCAGUGGGGACUCUGCCGCAAUGGACGAAAGUCGGACGGAGCAACGACGGGUGAGUGAGGACGGCCUUCGGGUUGUAAAGCUCUGUUAAUCGGGACGCGGUACCGGAAUAGAAAGCCACGGCUAACUACGUGCCAGCAGCCGCGGGAAUAC
This 408-nucleotide ribosomal RNA is filed under the name uncultured bacterium. RNAcentral's name for it is "partial 16S ribosomal RNA". It matches the Rfam family "Bacterial small subunit ribosomal RNA", at positions 28 to 526 of the family's 1533-position model. The record is from RNAcentral.